UUAAACGUCGAAAGCGCGUUCAAUGUACCGGUUCUCAUCCGAUCACCGAAGUUAAGUAACGUCGGGAGCGGUCACUACUUGGAUGAGUGACCGCCUGGGAACACCGCGUGACGUUGGCU
This 119-nucleotide ribosomal RNA is filed under the name Melitaea cinxia (Glanville fritillary). The record is from RNAcentral. Lineage: Eukaryota; Metazoa; Arthropoda; Insecta; Lepidoptera; Nymphalidae.